ACUUAAGCAUAUCAAUAAGCGGAGGAAAAGAAACCAACAGGGAUUACCUCAGUAACGGCGAGUGAAGCGGUAACAGCUCAAAUUUGAAAGCUAGCUCUUUUAGGGUUCGCAUUGUAAUUUGUAGAAGAUGCUUCGGGUGUGGCCCCGGUCUAAGUUCCUUGGAACAGGACGUCAUAGAGGGUGAGAAUCCCGUAUGUGACUGGGUGCCUUCGCUCAUGUGAAGCUCUUUCGACGAGUCGAGUUGUUUGGGAAUGCAGCUCAAAAUGGGUGGUAAAUUUCAUCUAAAGCUAAAUAUUGGCCAGAGACCGAUAGCGCACAAGUAGAGUGAUCGAAAGAUGAAAAGCACUUUGGAAAGAGAGUUAAACAGUACGUGAAAUUGUUGAAAGGGAAGCGCUUGCAACCAGACUUGCGCGCUGAUGAUCAUCCGGGCUUCUGCCCGGUGCACUCGUCUGCGCUCAGGCCAGCAUCGGUUUCGGUGGUGGGAUAAAGGCCUUGGGAAUGUAGCUCCUCUCGGGGAGUGUUAUAGCCCUCGGUGCAAUGCCGCCUACCGGGACCGAGGACCGCGCUUCGGCUAGGAUGCUGGCGUAAUGGUUGUAAGCGACCCGUCUUGAAACACGGACCAAGGAGUCUAACAUCUAUGCGAGUGUUUGGGUGUCAAACCCAUACGCGUAAUGAAAGUGAACGGAGGUGAGAACCCUUAAGGGUGCAUCAUCGACCGGUCCUGAUGUCUUCGGAUGGAUCUGAGUAAGAGCAUAGCUGUUGGGACCCGAAAGAUGGUGAACUAUGCGUGAAUAGGGUGAAGCCAGAGGAAACUCUGGUGGAGGCUCGCAGCGGUUCUGACGUGCAAAUCGAUCGUCAAAUUUGCGUAUAGGGGCGAAAGACUAAUCGAACCAUCUAGUAGCUGGUUCCUGCCGAA
RNAcentral lists this ribosomal RNA (916 nucleotides) under Ypsilina graminea. RNAcentral describes it as "partial large subunit ribosomal RNA". It matches the Rfam family "Eukaryotic large subunit ribosomal RNA", at positions 32 to 965 of the family's 3401-position model. The record is from RNAcentral. Lineage: Eukaryota; Fungi; Ascomycota; Leotiomycetes; Helotiales; Ploettnerulaceae.